This 482-nucleotide ribosomal RNA is filed under the name uncultured bacterium. RNAcentral's name for it is "partial 16S ribosomal RNA". It matches the Rfam family "Bacterial small subunit ribosomal RNA", at positions 30 to 507 of the family's 1533-position model. The record is from RNAcentral.
AUUGAACGCUGGCGGCAUGCUUUACACAUGCAAGUCGAACGGUAACAGGCCGCCAGGUGCUGACGAGUGGCGCACGGGUGAGUAAUGCAUCGGAACGUGCCCAGUCGUGGGGGAUAACUACUCGAAAGAGUAGCUAAUACCGCAUACGAUCUAUGGAUGAAAGCGGGGGACCGUAAGGCCUCGCGCGAUUGGAGCGGCCGAUGUCAGAUUAGGUAGUUGGUGGGGUAAAGGCUCACCAAGCCAACGAUCUGUAGCUGGUCUGAGAGGACGACCAGCCACACUGGGACUGAGACACGGCCCAGACUCCUACGGGAGGCAGCAGUGGGGAAUUUUGGACAAUGGGCGCAAGCCUGAUCCAGCAAUGCCGCGUGCAGGAAGAAGGCCUUCGGGUUGUAAACUGCUUUUGUACGGAACGAAACGGCUCUGGUUAAUACCCGGGGCUAAUGACGGUACCGGAAGAAUAAGCACCGGCUAACUACGUG